RNAcentral lists this microRNA precursor (103 nucleotides) under Manduca sexta (tobacco hornworm). RNAcentral describes it as "microRNA mse-mir-8 precursor". Its record names the gene mse-mir-8. The stretch from base 25 to 94 matches the Rfam family "mir-8/mir-141/mir-200 microRNA precursor family". Rfam says of the family: The bounds of the precursors are predicted based on conservation and base pairing and are not generally known. Lineage: Eukaryota; Metazoa; Arthropoda; Insecta; Lepidoptera; Sphingidae. The record is from miRBase by way of RNAcentral.
CAACCAUCCCAAGCCGGAGUGGCGGUUCGCAUCUUACCGGGCAGCAUUAGAGUCGUGUAGUCAUUUUCUAAUACUGUCAGGUAAAGAUGUCGUCCGCGCUCCA